GAAGGAUUAGUUAAAUAAAAUAACAUCAGAAUGUCAAACUGAAAUAACCAGAAGGUAUCCUUCU
Molecule: transfer RNA, 64 nt
Filed under: Macrotermes muelleri
Lineage: Eukaryota; Metazoa; Arthropoda; Insecta; Blattodea; Termitidae
Description: tRNA-Asp
Source: RNAcentral